RNAcentral lists this ribosomal RNA (274 nucleotides) under uncultured Eubacteriales bacterium. RNAcentral describes it as "uncultured Clostridiales bacterium partial 16S ribosomal RNA". It matches the Rfam family "Bacterial small subunit ribosomal RNA", at positions 71 to 339 of the family's 1533-position model. Lineage: Bacteria; Bacillati; Bacillota; Clostridia; Eubacteriales. The record is from RNAcentral.
AAGUUUUCGGAUGGAAUCCUGGUUGACUGAGUGGCGGACGGGUGAGUAACGCGUGGAUAACCUGCCUCACACUGGGGGAUAACAGUUAGAAAUGACUGCUAAUACCGCAUAAGCGCACAGUACCGCAUGGUACCGUGUGAAAAACUCCGGUGGUAUGAGAUGGACCCGCGUCUGAUUAGCUAGUUGGUGGGGUAACGGCCCACCAAGGCGACGAUCAGUAGCCGGUCUGAGAGGAUGAACGGCCACACUGGAACUGAGACACGGUCCAGACUCC